This 20-nucleotide non-coding RNA is filed under the name Rattus norvegicus (Norway rat). The record is from RNAcentral. Lineage: Eukaryota; Metazoa; Chordata; Mammalia; Rodentia; Muridae.
UGCUAGCUUUCUAUGUCCCA